ACUCCUACGGGAGGCAGCAGUGGGGAAUAUUGCACAAUGGGCGCAAGCCUGAUGCAGCCAUGCCGCGUGUGUGAAGAAGGCCUUCGGGUUGUAAAGCACUUUCAGCGGGGAGGAAGGCGAUAAGGUUAAUAACCUUGUCGAUUGACGUUACCCGCAGAAGAAGCACCGGCUAACUCCGUGCCAGCAGCCGCGGUAAUACA
This 200-nucleotide ribosomal RNA is filed under the name uncultured bacterium. RNAcentral describes it as "partial 16S ribosomal RNA". It matches the Rfam family "Bacterial small subunit ribosomal RNA", at positions 335 to 527 of the family's 1533-position model. The record is from RNAcentral.